AAACUAACAAGGAUUCCUUUAGUAACGGCGAGUGAACCGGGAAAAGCUCAAAUUUGUAAUCUGGCUGUCUUCGAUAGUCCGAGUUGUAAUCUAUAGACGUGUUUUCCGUGCUGGAUCGUAUCUAAGUCCCUUGGAACAGGGUAUCAAAGAGGGUGACAAUCCCGUGCUUGAUACGACGACCAGUGCUCUGUGAUACACGUUCUACGAGUCGAGUUGUUUGGGAAUGCAGCUCAAAAUGGGUGGUAAAUUCCAUCUAAAGCUAAAUAUUGGCGAGAGACCGAUAGCGAACAAGUACCGUGAGGGAAAGAUGAAAAGCACUUUGGAAAGAGAGUUAAACAGUACGUGAAAUUGUUGAAAGGGAAACGAUUGAAGUCAGUCGUGUUCUUCAGAUUCAGCUGGUUCUUCCAGUCUACUUCUGUUGAACGGGUCAACAUCAGUUUUGUCCGGUGGAUAAAGGUAGUAGGAAUGUGACUCCCCCGGGAGUGUUAUAGCCUAUUAUUGCAUACACUGGGUGAGACUGAGGACUGCAGCUCGCCUUUUGGCCGGUCUUCGGACACGUUCGAGCUUAGGAUGUUGACAUAAUGGCUUUAAACGACCC
Molecule: ribosomal RNA, 598 nt
Filed under: Cutaneotrichosporon jirovecii
Lineage: Eukaryota; Fungi; Basidiomycota; Tremellomycetes; Trichosporonales; Trichosporonaceae
Description: partial large subunit ribosomal RNA
Rfam family: Eukaryotic large subunit ribosomal RNA
Source: RNAcentral